GCCCCCAUCGUCUAGAGGACCAGGACACAGGCCUUUCAAGCCUGGUACAGGGGUUCGAAUCCCCUUGGGGGCA
Non-coding RNA from Anaerolineae bacterium CG2_30_64_16, 73 nucleotides. NCBI's taxonomy places the organism in Bacteria, Bacillati, Chloroflexota, Anaerolineae. The record is from Rfam.